Molecule: transfer-messenger RNA, 387 nt
Filed under: Ilumatobacter sp.
Lineage: Bacteria; Bacillati; Actinomycetota; Acidimicrobiia; Acidimicrobiales; Ilumatobacteraceae
Also listed under: 1 other name
Rfam family: transfer-messenger RNA
About the family: Bacterial tmRNA, also known as 10Sa RNA or SsrA, is named for its dual tRNA and mRNA-like properties. Its role is to liberate the mRNA from a stalled ribosome.
Source: RNAcentral
GGGGCUGACUGGUUUCGACGUCAGUAACGCUGUUCGAGUUUGCGACCCGAGUUUCUCAGACUCGUUAAACGGGGAAACCACAGAAUUGCCGAUGAGCAGUUCGCUCUCGCCGCCUGAUUUCGAUCAGACGAGUGAAGAGUCAUCGUGAGCAGAAAUGCCGCACGGGGCCACUCCACCACAGCCCGGCAACAGAAGUGGGGGAUGACGAUGGGAAAGACCAUUGCCAGCGGGAAAGACUGCUGACUUUCAGGAAAGACUGAGCGUGGUCCGCCUUGAGCGGGCAGCCGACCCGUCGGUGUCUCAGCGUCAGAGGUAAUGCCGGGAAUGGUCGUAGCGGGUUCGUGCAUCGGCUGAUGGACGGGGGUUCGAUUCCCCCCAGCUCCACUG